RNAcentral lists this long non-coding RNA (2575 nucleotides) under Salvia miltiorrhiza (redroot sage). RNAcentral's name for it is "long non-coding RNA (SMIL_LNC006650)". Lineage: Eukaryota; Viridiplantae; Streptophyta; Magnoliopsida; Lamiales; Lamiaceae. The record is from RNAcentral.
UGGAUUGAAACGAAAUAUUUUCUAUUAUUUCAAAUUUGAGAAAAAUUACAAAGUCAGUAUCAAUAAAAAAAUAACCAAGAAAAAAGAAUUAGAAAACCUCUAAAAUCUUAUCAGCUUUCGAAGAGGCACUAACAUAACAAGUAUCUAAUUAGAUAGCUAAAACUAAAACCAAUACAUAAUUCUUAUGCUACCAAACACACUAAACAAUAUUCACGCUAUUCUUCCAAAGCUCAGAGCAGCUGCCUUUUCUGUUGUCUUCUCUUAUUGAAAAGUAUCCAUGUAUACACAAAUCUCCAAACUCAGAAUUCAUAACAAACAUCUUUGGAACUCUAACAAAUAUCCCCAACACAUUGUGAGCAGCGGCUGCCUUCUCUUAAGUCUGCUGCAAAAUGCAAAUGUCUUUUAAUGGAAAGUAUUAAACAAAUCCAUGUAGUCCACAAACUCAAAGAAUUUAUAACGACUACCUUUAGAUCUAUAAGUUGUGUUUAAUAUCCCCAACACCUGAACUCAACACCCAAUAGAAAAAUGAGCAUCAUCUAAUAGAAAAUUCUUAAAUAAGCAAAACCAACAAAGAUACAAGGUAUUUCAACUUAUCCUACUGAAGCCUCGACCAAAAGAAGUGACACAUACAAUAACUCACAUCACUGCAUAUAUUAAUGCUUGCUAAAGGUAAAAUAAUUCUUACGUUUGCAGAUGAUAUAAUAAGUAACAAAAAUGAAAACUAAAAGCUAGCAACCGUUUUCAUCAUUCAAUGUCAAGACUUCACACGAACACGAACAAGGUUCAUAGUUGUAAGUGUUAAAAAAAGAACUGAGUUAUGAUAAGCCUCGAGCCCCAAAUGUAAAUCUCCCACUUUAUUCAUUAAAUAUGCUUUCAAACUCAAGUUAUCUCAUAAUACAAGUACUGUCUAGAGUAAUCACUUUCACAAGCAAACACAAAUAAUAAAAUAAAGCCCCAUCUAAAUAAAUGAUGUGAAUUAUCUAAAACUUAUUUCUUUGACAUCUUCUCUCAUACUUCAUUCACGUAUCAAUAUAUAUUAUUCAAAAAGAAACAGAACUAGAAUUCCACUUAACUUUCAACAUCCACAUUGCUGAUGUCAAAAUCUCAACAAAGUUAAGUAGCAAAUCUAAUAAGAAAAAGUAAUAGAGUUCAGAAAAAUGUGAUGAAUAGACUUGCAAACACAUUACUUAAUGGAUGUACUGUGAUAUUGAACAAAACAUAAGAAAUGAUCGUAUCAUUUAAUGGAUGUACUGUAACACGAUUGAAUAGUUAUAAAUUAACUAUUCAGUAGUAUUAGAUCUUGAGAGGAAGUAAGCAAACCACUCCCGCAUCCAGAAGUACAUUAGUUUAAGAAUUUCCUUGUAAGAUGCUGACCAAAAUUAAAUUUUGAUUGUCAGUAGGUUAUGUAGUUGACAUUCAACAACUUCUAUUAUUCAAACAUGAAGCAAUCUACAAUACUUUUUCACCUUACCAUGAUCUAACUUCUUCUAUUGUUGCAUAUUUCACGAAAUCAAACUCCUUGGAGUAUCUAGCUACACGAUCGAUAACCACUUGAGCUGCAGAAAGAAGUAUAAAUCAGCUAAAUUCUUUAAGAUUUUCCAGCGUCCAAUUAAAAAUCGCUAAUAUUGAAUAGAAAAAAUAAACAUACCACAGUUCUAUUUAUCAAAUUUAUUUAAUUCUCUGUGUAGGAUUAUUUUCUAGUUUAAUAACUAUGAUAUAAUAGGAACAAUGUGUACAGUUGGUAGAAAAACUAACAUUGAAAUAAUUGUUCUCAGAUACUUUCCUAUAAAAUCUAUCAUUCAUUUAAAUGAUUAAAGCUGAAAAUGCCCUGUUUCCACACAAGCAAACAAUGAUAUAUAAAUUCAUAUGUAUAAAACUCAAGAGUAUGCUUAACAGAUAGAGGCAGAAUCUAAUCGAUACAUACCAAAGGUUCUAAGAAGGAAGGCACAAUAAGAUUCAUCAUACCAACAACCAAUCCUUUGAAAGCAUUCCUCAAUAACGAGUCGACGACUCGUGAACAACUGCCACAUCAAAUCUCAAGUAAUUUACUAAACAUCUAUAUAAAAUUCAAAUUCUGUGAAAACCACCACAAAUACAAACAAAUUUCACAAAAUAUAAUAUUCCCAAACAGAGAUAAUGUAUAAGUCAAAAAUUCUAAACCACAGACCACCAUAGUAAGCUUAAUAUAGUUGUCGAUUAUUUCACCUUUAUCGUAUGCCCCUCCUACCUCUGCAUAGCCACAAGCCAAUUUUUGAAAUCAAAAUCGUCGAGCAAAUCUGUCUCCUACAAGGGGUACAAGUAAACAAGUUAGGGCUCAUACUAUUUAAGAACUUGUGAAAAUCUUGGGAACGAGGCAGAGCGAAUUGUCGCGCCACGAGAGGGUGAAGACGAAAGUGAAUAAGUUUGUAGAGAAUAGAACAGGACUAGGUGGUGUAGCGGAGUGUGAGUAAGAAAAAUAGGAAAUUGAAUAGGUAAUGGGCAUAGGAGAUUGGAGAUGAGUUUCUCCAACUCUUCGUGGUGGGUGGGGUCAAGGGUGGGAGGUUAUAUAAUAUAUUUACAAUUACCACAAAAAUAA